GUCGUAUCAAGCGAUUUAUUUUGAUUUAGGAGAUCUUGUCAAUAGGAAGUAAAUAGGAAAAAUAUUUUGGUGUUAAAGUAGGAAGAGAAUUUUUUUAUAGGCUAUAGGGUAAAGUACCGUGAGGGAAAGUUUGAAAUAUUUUUGAAAAGUUUUUAAGGUAAAAGUAAAGAUGAAGUUUUGUACCUUGUGUAUCAGGGAUGUUUUAUAUAGUGUAUUUAAUGAUACGGUUCCCGAAAAAGAGAUAGUUAGAUUAAUAAUAGAGUUUUUGUUGUAAAAAGAUUUAAAAUAUUUUUCUAGUAGUGAAAUAUUAAUCGGGCUCUUUGAUAUCUGGUUCUUUCAGAAAUAAAUUUAAUUUAAUAUCUAUAUAUAAAAAAUAUAGUGGAUUGGGGUAGAAGGGUAGAGCUUUUUAUUUAAUUAUUUUAUUUAUGGGGAUAAAACAAAUAGGUGUUUAACUAGGCUUAGAAAUAGCCAUGUUGUUAAAAUGUUAUUAUUAAAGUUUGUUUUAUAUAAUUUUUUUUAUUCUUUAGACAGGUAUGGGGGAGUUGUAAGAAGUUAAACUUGAGAAGUUAAAAUGGGUGUAUUAGUAUAUAGUUAUAUAUGGUUUUAAAUUUUUAAAAGAUGGGAAAAUUAUAUAAGGGGGGUUUUUAUAAGAAGGAAUUCGGCAAAGAGUACUUCCGCCUGUUUAUCAAAAACAUGUCUAUAUGGGAGAUAUAUAAAGUCUAGCCUGCCCAUUGGUUUUUUCUGAAAGGCCGCGGUAUUAUGACCGUGCAAAGGUAGCAUAAUCAUUAGUCUUUUAAUUGGGGGCUUGUAUGAAUGGUUGGACGAGAAGUAAGCUGUCUCUAAUUAAUGAAUUGAAUUUAACUUUUAAGUGAAAAGGCUUAAAUGAUCUAAAGGGACGAUAAGACCCUAUAAAGCUUUACAUUGAAUUUAUUAAAAAGUAAUUUAAAUAAUAAAAGUUUAUUAGUAGGGAGAUGUUUUGUUGGGGUGACAAGAAUAUAAUAAAUAUAACUGUUCUUUUUUAUUUCAAAAAUAUUUGAAUGGGAGAUCCUUAAUAAAGAUGUUAGAGUAAGUUACUUUAGGGAUAACAGCGUAAUUUUUUUUGAGAGUUCCUAUCGACAGAAAAGUUUGCGACCUCGAUGUUGAAUUAAAGAUUCUUUAUAAUGUAGAAGUUAUACGAGAAGGUCUGUUCGACCUUUAAAUCUUUACAUGAUUUGAGUUCAGACCGGCGUGAGCCAGGUUGGUUUCUAUCUUUUAGGGAAAAGGAGAUUAUUUUAGUACGAAAGGAUUGAAUAAUCAAAAUAAUUUUAUAAUAUGAAAUUCAUUAGAGUUAACUUUAAAGUUAAUUAUAUAAAUUCUGUUAUGUUCAGAGAAAAAAGA
RNAcentral lists this ribosomal RNA (1377 nucleotides) under Paranephrops planifrons. RNAcentral describes it as "l-rRNA". The stretch from base 593 to 1377 matches the Rfam family "Archaeal large subunit ribosomal RNA", at positions 1423 to 2902 of the family's 2987-position model. Lineage: Eukaryota; Metazoa; Arthropoda; Malacostraca; Decapoda; Parastacidae. The record is from RNAcentral.